GGGCGUAUGGCUUAGCGGUCAGAACGUUUGGAGGGUUUCCAAGAGGCGCGGGUUCAAAUCCCGCUACGUUCA
RNAcentral lists this transfer RNA (72 nucleotides) under Heliconius melpomene (postman butterfly). RNAcentral describes it as "tRNA HMEL013698". It matches the Rfam family "tRNA". Rfam says of the family: Transfer RNA (tRNA) molecules are approximately 80 nucleotides in length. Their secondary structure includes four short double-helical elements and three loops (D, anti-codon, and T loops). The record is from RNAcentral. Lineage: Eukaryota; Metazoa; Arthropoda; Insecta; Lepidoptera; Nymphalidae.